ACGGAAGGCAGCAGUGGGGAAUUUUGCGCAAUGGGGGAAACCCUGACGCAGCAACGCCGCGUGCGGGAUGAAGGCCUUCGGGUUGUAAACCGCUUUCAGCAGGGACGAUUAUGACGGUACCUGCAGAAGAAGCUCCGGCUAACUACGUGCCAGCAGCCGCGGUAAUACGUAGGGAGCGAGCGUUAUCCGGAUUCAUUGGGCGUAAAGCGCGCGUAGGCGGCUUACCAAGCGGAACCUCUAAUCCGAGGGCUCAACCCCCGGCCGGGUUCCGAACUGGUAGGCUCGAGUGCGGUAGGGGCAGGUGGAAUUCCAUGUGUAGCGGUGGAAUGCGCAGAUAUAUGGAAGAACACCGAUGGCGAAGGCAGCCUGCUGGGCCGUCACUGACGCUGAGGUGCGAAAGCGUGGGUAGCGAACAGGAUUAGAUACCCUGGUA
This 433-nucleotide ribosomal RNA is filed under the name uncultured Coriobacteriaceae bacterium. RNAcentral describes it as "partial 16S ribosomal RNA". It matches the Rfam family "Bacterial small subunit ribosomal RNA", at positions 341 to 792 of the family's 1533-position model. The record is from RNAcentral. Lineage: Bacteria; Bacillati; Actinomycetota; Coriobacteriia; Coriobacteriales; Coriobacteriaceae.